ACUUGCCAGUAGCUGCCUUUAUUUGCAGUCUUCUAACAGGGCCUUAAUUUCUGCUUCAUCUCUCCGGUCUGCUGGCCCUUCCAGCCCCCACCUAGUUCCCUUUAUCAUUCUGACCAUAACUUUAACUUCCAUCUCACCGUCUACCCUAAGAGUAGGAGGUAACUAUAAGCCAGAGAUCAUUUUAAUAUUUUCUCCUCCUUGUACUUUGAACCUCUGGAAGUAGUUUUAGUUUUUCUGUUCCUGUGGCACGUGGGUGGGAGACAAUCUAAAUGGCUGGGUGUGUGUACUUCACUGCCUCAGUCUUCCGAAUGGCUGGGAUUACAGGUGUGUGCCACCAUGCCAAACUAAUUUUUUGUAUUUUUUCUAUUUGCCUUUUCUGGUCAUUUCAUAUAAAGUAGAAUCAAAAUAUGCUGUCUUUUGUGACUGGCUUCUUUCACUUAGCAUAAUGUUUUCAAGGUUCAUCCAUAUUGUAGCAUGUAUCAGUACUUCAUUCCUUUUUAUGACUGAAUAAUAUUUCACUGUAUGGAUAUACCACAUUUGGUUUAUCCAUUCAUCAAUUGAUGAACAUUUGGGUUGUUUCCACUUUUUGGUUAUUAUGCAUAAUGAUGCUGUGAACAUUCAUGUGUAAGUCUAUAUGUGGACUUAUGUUUUCUUUUCUCUUGGAGUAGAACCAAGGAAUGGAACUGCUAGGGCGUACAGUAAUUUGUUUAGCUUUUAAAAGAAAAUGCCAAACUGUUUUCCAGAGUGACUGUGCCAUUUUACAACCUCAUCAGUAAUGUUGCGAGAAUUUCCAUUUCUCUACAUCCUUGCCAACAAUUGUUACUGUCUUUGAAUAUAGACAUCCUAAUAAUGAGUAUGAAGAAGUAUCUCAUUGUGAUUUUCAUUUAUAUUUCCCCAACAAAUAAUGAUGUUGAGCAUCUAUUUGUUCAUGUGAUUACUUUUUUAAAUAAUGUGCAAUAAAAAUGAAUUCUAGGAAAAAAGAAAUGAAAGAACAUGUAUAAGAUAUAAGCCCCAAUGUUUUUUAUUAGAAUCAACAGAUAAAGUUAUACUUCAGUAAAUAUAAUCAGAACAUAGGAAAAAAGAAAAUUAUAGAAACUGUGUACAUUUUUCAUUGAAAGUGUAUACACAGGCAAUUAAUAUAGAAAGUCACUUAGACUCAAGUUUUUUGUCCCUCAGAAUCAUAACAAAUAAUGAAGAGUGAAAUAGCAAUUCCAGAUUGACUUUGAAAAGGCCACCUUGUAUAUCAGUAUUUAGAAUUUUUAAUGUGACACAUGAGCUUGUUUCUUGUUUGUAAUAACUUGUCCACGUUGGAUUGAUGAUAAUGCUAAUCAUGAGAGAUGUUUCUUAUGUUUUCCUUUUAAUAACAUACAUACUAGAGAAAUCAUUCUCACAAAGGUAUGUUGAUGGGAAUCAAAGUAGAGAUUUGAAAUAAAUUUUAGCAAGUUCAGGAUAUUCAUUUUUAACUUUUAUUCAAAAUGAAGCAAGUGAUGGUAUAUUUUCAAAAUUUAUCUUCAUUCCUUCAUCAGUAACCAGUUCUUGCAUUUGAUCCGUAGAGUUGUAGUUAAAUUUGUCUUUCAAUGAAAAAAACAAAAUGGUUUCCAGAACAGUUGACAAACUACCCUUAAAAUGUCAUAUAUUAUAACAUGGUUUUACUGCACAUAACUGGUAUACAGUUUGUACCACAUGCAACUUGCCACACAAAUGUAUCAGCACCCAACCUGGUCUUUGCCCUAUUCAUCAAGGCAAGUCUGCUGAUCAUGAGCUGGGAUGUUGUGGCAUCGUUAUGCUGCUGUGAAAAUUCUUAUUUUCUGUAGUUUCAUUAUGCAUCAGUGGAGUUUGUGAACCAGCCAUUUUAUCCCUUUUUUACAUAUUAUAUGAUAUCCUAGCUUCAAGGAUAGAUAAUCAAAUAAAAGGAAUAAAAGGAGUACUAUAUUAAAAACGUCAGUGAAAUCUGGCAGCUUACCUGAAAGGAACGUGGGAACAAAGGUAGUUAAUACUACUGGGACCCGCUAGGUAUACUACACACUUCACACAUACACAAUUUAAAAACUGGGGCUAUAUAAAGAAUGUUGAGAUUAGUUGGUGCUGUCUUUAAACCGUAGGAAAUCUGUCACUCCUUAAUAAUAAACUAACAUAGUAUCUCAUCCUUACAGUGAAUUCUACCUUAUAACUAAGAUCAUUCACAUUGCAGUUUAAACUUCUUAAACUAAAACUAGAAUUGACAGUAGUGCAAAACUAUGAAAAAAUGAUUUGUCAUUAUGGCCAUGUGUCCUUUUAUUAGUUCAGUUAAAUUUCAAUUAAUUGUUUUUUUAAUGGUCUUUAAUCAUUUGUAAAUCGAUAGGGCACAGAUAAUCAGAAAAGUCUGAGAUUUGAUGUGGAUUAUCACUUUUAAAUUCAGGUUUUGGCUUGGACAACAGCGUUGCAAGCAGUCUAUAAAACAUCUGCCUACGAUAAGCAGUGAAACAUUGCAGCUUUCCAAUUACUCAACUCAUCCUAUUGGAAACCUUUCUAAGAAUAAACUGUUCAUUAAACUUACCCGCCUUCCACAAUACUACAUUGUAAGUAUGCAAAGGAGUGAUUUGGAGUGAUCAAGUUUAGUAAUUCUGUUAGUAUCUUGAAUGACUUAUUGUUUAACUUGCCAAUGAAUUUUAUUGAAUAUUUGACUUUGGUAUAGUGAAACCCAGGGG
RNAcentral lists this long non-coding RNA (2687 nucleotides) under Homo sapiens (human). RNAcentral describes it as "non-protein coding lnc-CXorf38-3:1". Lineage: Eukaryota; Metazoa; Chordata; Mammalia; Primates; Hominidae. The record is from RNAcentral.